CAUCAACCAUUUUCUCUU
RNAcentral lists this small nuclear RNA (18 nucleotides) under Arabidopsis thaliana (thale cress). Its description in RNAcentral is "snRNA_15514". Lineage: Eukaryota; Viridiplantae; Streptophyta; Magnoliopsida; Brassicales; Brassicaceae. The record is from RNAcentral.